GGUUAAGUGAAUAAGGGCGCACGGUGGAUGCCUUGGCACUAGGAGCCGAUGAAGGACGGGACUAACACCGAUAUGCUUUGGGGAGCUGUAAGUAAGCUAUGAUCCAGAGAUUUCCGAAUGGGGGAACCCAAUAUCUUUUAUAGGAUAUUACUUUUCAGUGAAUACAUAGCUGAUUAGAGGUAGACGCAGAGAACUGAAACAUCUUAGUACCUGCAGGAAGAGAAAGAAAAUUCGAUUCCCUGAGUAGCGGCGAGCGAAACGGGAAGAGCCCAAACCAACAAGCUUGCUUGUUGGGGUUGUAGGACUCCAACAUGGUAGUCUGUUAGUAUAGUUGAAGGAUUUGGAAAAUUCCGCUAAAGAGGGUGAAAGCCCCGUAGACGAAAUGCUGACAACACCUAGGAGGAUCCUGAGUACGGCGGAACACGAGAAAUUCCGUCGGAAUCCGCGGGGACCAUCCCGCAAGGCUAAAUACUCCCUAGUGACCGAUAGUGAACCAGUACCGUGAGGGAAAGGUGAAAAGCACCCCGGAAGGGGAGUGAAAUAGAUCCUGAAACCGUGUGCCUACAACAAGUCAAAGCUCGUUAAUGAGUGAUGGCGUGCCUUUUGUAGAAUGAACCGGCGAGUUACGAUUGCAUGCGAGGUUAAGUCGAAGAGACGGAGCCGCAGCGAAAGCGAGUCUGAAUAGGGCGAAUGAGUAUGUAGUCGUAGACCCGAAACCAUGUGAUCUACCCAUGUCCAGGUUGAAGGUGCGGUAAAACGCACUGGAGGACCGAACCCACGUACGUUGAAAAGUGCGGGGAUGAGGUGUGGGUAGCGGAGAAAUUCCAAACGAACUUGGAGAUAGCUGGUUCUCUCCGAAAUAGCUUUAGGGCUAGCCUCGGAAUUGAGAAUGAUGGAGGUAGAGCACUGUUUGGACUAGGGGCCCAUCUCGGGUUACCGAAUUCAGAUAAACUCCGAAUGCCAUUCAUUUAUAUCCGGGAGUCAGACUGCGAGUGAUAAGAUCCGUAGUCGAAAGGGAAACAGCCCAGACCACCAGCUAAGGUCCCAAAAUAUAUGUUAAGUGGAAAAGGAUGUGGGGUUGCACAGACAACUAGGAUGUUGGCUUAGAAGCAGCCACCAUUUAAAGAGUGCGUAAUAGCUCACUAGUCGAGUGACCCUGCGCCGAAAAUGUACCGGGGCUAAACAUAUUACCGAAGCUGUGGACUACACCAUUAGGUGUAGUGGUAGGAGAGCGUUCUAAGGGCGUUGAAGGUCGAUCGUGAGGACGGCUGGAGCGCUUAGAAGUGAGAAUGCCGGUAUGAGUAGCGAAAGACAGGUGAGAAUCCUGUCCACCGUAUGACUAAGGUUUCCUGGGGAAGGCUCGUCCGCCCAGGGUUAGUCGGGACCUAAGCCGAGGCCGAUAGGCGUAGGCGAUGGACAACAGGUUGAUAUUCCUGUACCAGUUGUUUUUGUUUGAGCAAUGGAGGGACGCAGUAGGCUAAGGAAUGCAUGCGAUUGGAAGUGCAUGUCCAAGCAAUGAGUCUUGAGUAGAGUUAAAUGCUUUACUCUCUAAGGACAAGUUGUGACGGGGAGCGAAAUAAUAGUAGCGAAGUUCCUGAUGUCACACUGCCAAGAAAAGCUUCUAGUGAGAAAACAACUGCCCGUACCGUAAACCGACACAGGUAGUCGAGGAGAGUAUCCUAAGGUGAGCGAGCGAACUCUCGUUAAGGAACUCGGCAAAAUGACCCCGUAACUUCGGGAGAAGGGGUGCUGACUUCGGUCAGCCGCAGUGAAUAGGCCCAAGCGACUGUUUAUCAAAAACACAGGUCUCUGCAAAAUCGUAAGAUGAAGUAUAGGGGCUGACGCCUGCCCGGUGCUGGAAGGUUAAGAGGAUGGGUUAGCUUCGGCGAAGCUCAGAAUUGAAGCCCCAGUAAACGGCGGCCGUAACUAUAACGGUCCUAAGGUAGCGAAAUUCCUUGUCGGGUAAGUUCCGACCCGCACGAAAGGCGUAACGAUUUGGGCACUGUCUCAACGAGAGACUCGGUGAAAUUUUAGUACCUGUGAAGAUGCAGGUUACCCGCGACAGGACGGAAAGACCCCAUGGAGCUUUACUGUAGUUUGAUAUUGAGUGUUUGUACCACAUGUACAGGAUAGGUAGGAGCCGAUGAGACCGGAACGCUAGUUUCGGAGGAGGCGCUGGUGGGAUACUACCCUUGUGUUAUGAACCCUCUAACCCGCACCACUAAUCGUGGUGGGAGACAGUGUCAGAUGGGCAGUUUGACUGGGGCGGUCGCCUCCUAAAAGGUAACGGAGGCGCCCAAAGGUUCCCUCAGAAUGGUUGGAAAUCAUUCGAAGAGUGUAAAGGCAGAAGGGAGCUUGACUGCGAGACCUACAAGUCGAGCAGGGACGAAAGUCGGGCUUAGUGAUCCGGUGGUUCCGCAUGGAAGGGCCAUCGCUCAACGGAUAAAAGCUACCCUGGGGAUAACAGGCUUAUCUCCCCCAAGAGUCCACAUCGACGGGGAGGUUUGGCACCUCGAUGUCGGCUCGUCGCAUCCUGGGGCUGUAGUCGGUCCCAAGGGUUGGGCUGUUCGCCCAUUAAAGCGGCACGCGAGCUGGGUUCAGAACGUCGUGAGACAGUUCGGUCCCUAUCCGUCGCGGGCGUUGGAAAUUUGAGAGGAGCUGUCCUUAGUACGAGAGGACCGGGAUGGACUUACCGCUGGUGUACCAGUUGUUCUGCCAAGGGCAUUGCUGGGUAGCUAUGUAGGGAAGGGAUAAACGCUGAAAGCAUCUAAGUGUGAAGCCCACCUCAAGAUGAGAUUUCCCAUUUCUUUAAGAAAGUAAGACCCCUGAGAGAUGAUCAGGUAGAUAGGUUGGAAGUGGAAGGCUAGUGAUAGUUGGAGCGGACCAAUACUAAUCGGUCGAGGACUUAACCAA
This 2913-nucleotide ribosomal RNA is filed under the name Klebsiella pneumoniae. RNAcentral's name for it is "23S ribosomal RNA". It matches the Rfam family "Bacterial large subunit ribosomal RNA". Lineage: Bacteria; Pseudomonadati; Pseudomonadota; Gammaproteobacteria; Enterobacterales; Enterobacteriaceae. The record is from RNAcentral. RNAcentral also lists the same sequence under 2 other names.